RNAcentral lists this long non-coding RNA (859 nucleotides) under Vigna radiata. Its description in RNAcentral is "long non-coding RNA (VRAD_LNC000655)". Lineage: Eukaryota; Viridiplantae; Streptophyta; Magnoliopsida; Fabales; Fabaceae. The record is from RNAcentral.
GGGCAUUCACCUGCAAAAUCAUGAAACUUAGGCAGCAAAUGUAUCAGUCCAGAGCUGAAAACGCAAUGAAUAUCAUCCUCAUUAAGUGAAGCUGGCUCCCUAGGAGCACUCUCAAAAAUGGGAGGAUGAGUCAUAUUGUUCUCAACAUAAAAGUCAACAGAAUAUGCAUGAGAAGCAACAUCAGAGUUAGAUGCAGAAGGAGAAUCAUAAUCAUAGACACAGGUAGCAGAAGCAGUAUUCACAAAAUCAAAAUAGGUAGACAUGUAGAAGGGGGGAGGGAAGAAUGCAAUGAAAAUAUGCAACUAAAGCUACCUAAAUGCAACACACAAUACACACAUACAAAAACAGAAAAUAACACAAAAAGGCAUCCUAAAGUUAGUGAGUGAAGGGCUAUCACUGGAUAGUACAAGAAAGGACACAUGAAGAAUAGUAAUGAAAUGGAUAGCAUUUAUGGAAAAGUAACAUUGACAUUGAAAACCGUAAGUCAUCCUUCAUUGCAAUUCAAUUCCAACCGAUGCCCAUCCAAUGCCUCAAUCUUCUCCAAAGCAAAUAAAUAAAACGAAAAAGGAAUGCACAAGAGAGGUCCCACCUGUUGGACUUGACUAUGCAUUCAAAGAAGAAAAUGAAAAUACAAAAGUGAGAGCUAAUAUAUAGCCUCCCUGCAAUGGACGUGACAACACCCUUCUAAUUUGAAUCAAUGCUUCCAAAUAAAAUCAUUUAGCGUCAACAUCUCUGACCCAAUGAGUGCAACUUGAAUUUCCUCAAAGUAUGCUCCUUUUUUUAAUUCAUCCACACUCCAAAUGCCAAGCCAUUUUUUCAAAGAAAAAAGAAAAAAAAAACGCUGCAGCCACCUCCUCCC